RNAcentral lists this ribosomal RNA (253 nucleotides) under uncultured Sphingobacterium sp. RNAcentral describes it as "partial 16S ribosomal RNA". It matches the Rfam family "Bacterial small subunit ribosomal RNA", at positions 524 to 776 of the family's 1533-position model. Lineage: Bacteria; Pseudomonadati; Bacteroidota; Sphingobacteriia; Sphingobacteriales; Sphingobacteriaceae. The record is from RNAcentral.
UACGGAGGGUGCAAGCGUUAUCCGGAUUUAUUGGGUUUAAAGGGUGCGUAGGCAGCUUUAUAAGUCAGGGGUGAAAGACGGCAGCUCAACUGUCGCAGUGCCUUUGAUACUGAUGGGCUUGAAUGUGAUUGAAGAUGGCGGAAUGAGACAAGUAGCGGUGAAAUGCAUAGAUAUGUCUCAGAACUCCAAUUGCGAAGGCAGCUAUCUAAGUCAUGAUUGACGCUGAUGCACGAAAGCGUGGGGAUCGAACAGG